Molecule: non-coding RNA, 101 nt
Filed under: Fusobacterium sp.
Lineage: Bacteria; Fusobacteriati; Fusobacteriota; Fusobacteriia; Fusobacteriales; Fusobacteriaceae
Also listed under: 1 other name
Description: Guanine sequence
Rfam family: Purine riboswitch aptamer
About the family: Riboswitches are metabolite binding domains within certain messenger RNAs that serve as precision sensors for their corresponding targets. Allosteric rearrangement of mRNA structure is mediated by ligand binding, and this results in modulation of gene expression. A class of riboswitches that selectively recognises guanine and becomes saturated at concentrations as low as 5 nM.
Source: RNAcentral
AUUUAAAUGAAUAAACUAACUUGUAUAUACUUGUGUAUGUAUCGGGCAAGAGUCUCUACGGUUAACCGUUAUUAACCGCUACAAGUUAAAGAUAUAGAGCG